Molecule: transfer RNA, 66 nt
Filed under: Stenocercus scapularis
Lineage: Eukaryota; Metazoa; Chordata; Lepidosauria; Squamata; Tropiduridae
Description: tRNA-Cys
Source: RNAcentral
AAGCCCCGGAGCCCUUUAUGGGCUCAUCUUCAAAUUUGCAGUUUGACGUAAUCUCACCACGGGACU